This 460-nucleotide ribosomal RNA is filed under the name uncultured bacterium. RNAcentral's name for it is "partial 16S ribosomal RNA". It matches the Rfam family "Bacterial small subunit ribosomal RNA", at positions 338 to 795 of the family's 1533-position model. The record is from RNAcentral.
CCUACGGGGGACAGCAGUGAGGAAUAUUGGUCAAUGGACGAGAGUCUGAACCAGCCAAGUAGCGUGAAGGAUGACUGCCCUAUGGGUUGUAAACUUCUUUUAUAUGGGAAUAAAAUGUUCCACGUGUGGGAUUUUGUAUGUACCUUAUGAAUAAGGAUCGGCUAACUCCGUGCCAGCAGCCGCGGUAAUACGGAGGAUCCGAGCGUUAUCCGGAUUUAUUGGGUUUAAAGGGAGCGUAGGUGGAUUGUUAAGUCAGUUGUGAAAGUUUGCGGCUCAACCGUAAAAUUGCAGUUGAAACUGGCAGUCUUGAGUACAGUAGAGGUGGGCGGAAUGCGUGGUGUAGCGGUGAAAUGCUUAGAUAUCACGAAGAACUCCGAUUGCGAAGGCAGCUCACUGGACUGCAACUGACACUGAGGCUCGAAAGUGUGGGGAGCAAACAGGAUUAGAUACCCUAGUAGUC